GAUGAACGCUGGCGGCGUGCCUAAUACAUGCCAGUCGAGCGAACAGACGAGGAGCUUGCUCCUCUGACGUUAGCGGCGGACGGGUGAGUAACACGUGGAUAACCUACCUAUAAGACUGGGAUAACUUCGGGAAACCGGAGCUAAUACCGGAUAAUAUAUUGAACCGCAUGGUUCAAUAGUGAAAGACGGUUUUGCUGUCACUUAUAGAUGGAUCCGCGCCGCAUUAGCUAGUUGGUAAGGUAACGGCUUACCAAGGCAACGAUGCGUAGCCGACCUGAGAGGGUGAUCGGCCACACUGGAACUGAGACACGGUCCAGACUCCUACGGGAGGCAGCAGUAGGGAAUCUUCCGCAAUGGGCGAAAGCCUGGCGGAGCAACGCCGCGUGAAUGAUGAAGGUCUUCGGAUCGUAAAACUCUGUUAUUAGGGAAGAACAAAUGUGUAAGUAACUAUGCACGUCUUGACGGUACCUAAUCAGAAAGCCACGGCUAACUACGUG
Molecule: ribosomal RNA, 497 nt
Filed under: uncultured bacterium
Lineage: Bacteria
Description: partial 16S ribosomal RNA
Rfam family: Bacterial small subunit ribosomal RNA
Source: RNAcentral